This 1060-nucleotide long non-coding RNA is filed under the name Marmota monax (woodchuck). The record is from RNAcentral. Lineage: Eukaryota; Metazoa; Chordata; Mammalia; Rodentia; Sciuridae.
AUAAAUACCUCUGUUGUCCUGCAAUAAACGGCUCCCACUCCUGCUGUAUCAACGUACACAAGUUAUUCGUCACCCCCCGGUUAUUUUGCUGCAGCCAGCCGGACUGCGGCAGAUGGUGGCCCGUUACGGGGAGCCCCGGGACACUUGGGGGUAAGUGACGAAAAAAAAAGCUGCCCGUUCUUAGAUAGGACGGGAGCAAAUCUGCUCGUCCCUAGGCAGAUAGGGCGAGAGGAAAAAUGGCCAUUUCGAGAAAAUGGAGAAGAUUGAUACAGUAUGUUUGUGUCUUGUUUUGUCUUAAAAUGUUGUAUUGUCUUUGUGAUGAAAAUAUGGAAGGGGUGUUAAGUAAAUUACUAAGGGAAGAAGGCACCCCAGUGGAACCAAGAAUAGUUAGGGCAAGUGUUGAUAGAAGCCCAGGAACUCUAGUCAGAAAGAAACAGAAAGUUCAGAAGAAGAAAGAUUAUCAGAGGAGGAAGGAUUAUCAGGAAAAAAGUUGCAGCAAAAGGCUAUUACUAAAUACUUUUCGUUACCGGAGGGUGCGUGAAGCGGAGAGGCGGCUGCCGAGUGUGCAAGCCGGUCACAGCGCAGCAAGGAUUUUCCAAGAGGCGGCGGCAACUGGCUCUUCCCGGCCUCCUGGCCGGGGAGCUGGCUCUUCCACUGCCGCGAGCCCAAAUCUAGACCUGACCUGGAGGCACAGUCUCGCAGGCUCUUGCUCCCUGUGCCCAGUAGCAGUUUGAGUCCGGGACACUCCCCAGGGCCAUCUGGGGCUGCCCAGGACCCUACAGCCAGCAAAAGACGCUACCGGUGGCGUCCCUGAUGUUUGGUCAUUUCCAAGACCAGUAACUACAAUGGUUCUCCCACACCUGGAAGCUAAUGAGUAAUGAGCACUAUUAAGGCUUAUUUCAAAUGUAAAAAACCUUGAGAUAAUGUACUAAAUUGUUCAGAAGGUUGUUUUCUUAGUAGAAUGCUACAGGAUUUUCUUUAGCCAUCCGGAGUUCCUGCCUUCGUCCCAGUGCCGGUAAAGACCAAGGUGGAAGAAUUUCCAGUGUUGCUGAAAACCGGA